Molecule: long non-coding RNA, 247 nt
Filed under: Nicotiana benthamiana
Lineage: Eukaryota; Viridiplantae; Streptophyta; Magnoliopsida; Solanales; Solanaceae
Description: long non-coding RNA (NBEN_LNC020787)
Source: RNAcentral
AUAUUCUUGUUCUCUUAAAUUAAACUACGACACAAAUUACAACGUAGAGAGUUUGGGUUGGAAUAGCUAAAGAGUUUGACCUUUUAAGUUGUGUUUCGACCCAAUAAUCUAUUCCUGACCUGAUAUCCAAUGAGUCGACGAGCCACCAAAUAUGAAGUAUAAUCGUUUUAAGUAAUGAAAAGAACAAAAUAAUUAUUUCUACUUUUCUAGUAUAGUUGGAAAUGCGACUUGAUUAAGGAUUCAGCUA